CUAAAAAUCUAGCCCCAUCUACUAUAUAUACCCACAACCCUAAACAAAAUAUUUUAACAACUUAGUAAAGAAGAUUAAAAAAUUUCUAUGGAGCUAUACUCUUGUACCGCAAGGGAAAGAUGAAAUAAUAAUGAAAUUAUUUAAAAGCACAAAACAGUAGAGUUUCACCCUCGUACCUUUUGCAUCAUGGUUUAGCUAGUCUAAUUAGGCAAAAAGCUCUUAAGUCUAACCCCCCGAAACUAAGUGAGCUAAUUUAGGGCAGCCCAGUGUGCAAACCCAUCUAUGUCGCAAAAUAGUGGGAAGACCUUAAAAUAGAGGUGACAAACCUAACGAACUUAGUUAUAGCUGGUUUCUCAAGAAAUGAAUAUUAGUUCCGCCUAAAGCAAUUUAAAUUUAAAUAAAUACUCCUCACCGCUUUAGAGUAAUUCAAACAAGGUACAGCCUGUUUGAUCCUGGACACAGCCCUCGCUUACGGGUAACACAGCUCAAAACUACAACAAGUAGGCCUAAUAGCAGCCACCUUUAAAAAAGCGUUAAAGCUUAUUAUGUUUUGCACUAUACCUCUACUACCACAGACCCCUAUAACCGUAUUGAGAAAUUCUAUGCCCCCCCCAUAGAAAUUUUUAUGCUAAAACUAGUAACAAGAGUUUAUACUCUCUAAAUGCAAGUAUAAGCCAGUAGAACAUAUCACUGGCAAUUAACAAAUCAAAGUAGUAACUCACCGAGAAAACCCUAUUAUUUUAACUGUUAACCUAACACCAGAGCAUUCCCAGAAAGAUUAAAAGACAAAGAAGGAACUCGGCAAAUAUAAACCCCGCCUGUUUACCAAAAACAUCGCCUCUUGAAUCUAUUAGAGGUCCAGCCUGCCCAGUGACUCUUGUUCAACGGCCGCGGUAUCCUAACCGUGCGAAGGUAGCGUAAUCACUUGUCUUCUAAAUAAAGACUAGUAUGAAAGGCAUCACGAGGGUUUAACUGUCUCCUCUCUCUAAUCAGUGAACCUAAUCUCCCCGUGAAAAAGCGGGAAUUUUUAUAUAAGACGAGAAGACCCUAUGGAGCUUAAAACAUCUUUACACGUGCCCCACCCCAUCUUAUACCCCGGUACCCAUACACACCAGCACGAUGAUUUUAUGUUUUUGGUUGGGGUGACCGCGGAGAAAACCUCAUCCUCCGUAAUGAAAGGAAUCUUCCUUAACAGAAAGCCACAACUUUAUGUAUUAACAUAUUAACACUAUUGACCCAAUAAAUUGAUUAAUGAACCAAGUUACCCUAGGGAUAACAGCGCAAUCCACUUCCAGAGCUCCUAUCGACAAGUGGGCUUACGACCUCGAUGUUGGAUCGGGGUAUCCUAGUGGUGCAGCCGCUACUAAAGGUUCGUUUGUUCAACGAUUAAAACCCCACGUGAUCUGAGUUCAGACCGGAGUAAUCCAGGUCGGUUUCUAUCUAUAAUAGAGCUUUUUUCAGUACGAAAGGACCAAAACAGCCUGGCCCAUACUUCCGCAAGCCAUAGCUAAUUAUUACUGCCCCCAAUCAAAAAAUUAUUAGCCUAACACCUAGUUCGA
This 1559-nucleotide ribosomal RNA is filed under the name Pristimantis rhabdolaemus (Apurimac robber frog). Its description in RNAcentral is "partial 16S ribosomal RNA". It matches the Rfam family "Bacterial large subunit ribosomal RNA", at positions 410 to 2925 of the family's 2925-position model. The record is from RNAcentral. Lineage: Eukaryota; Metazoa; Chordata; Amphibia; Anura; Strabomantidae.